Tachysurus fulvidraco (yellow catfish) is the source of this 497-nucleotide long non-coding RNA. RefSeq lists it as uncharacterized. The record is from RefSeq and is a predicted model, not a curated record. The transcript has 5 exons. NCBI's taxonomy places the organism in Eukaryota, Metazoa, Chordata, Actinopteri, Siluriformes, Bagridae.
AGCGUGCCAGAAGGUGGAGCAGUAUUUCCUCACUAAAAUCACAAUUAGUCCUACUGCACAGCAUACUAAUCUCUCUUAACAGUAUAGUCGUGUCCAGUCUUUCAAGCGUAGCUGAACGUCAGUCUGAGGUCUUUUCUUAAUUUUGCAGGGGCUUUCUGUACUGUUGGAUGCACCUAGAAAAAUAGACGGAGAGAAUACAGGUUUAGGACCAAACACUUGGAAUCUCUCAUCAAAUCGUGUGGAGACCUUAAGCUGGACGGGUUUCUGUUUUUCCCUGACCUUUGACCUGGACCUGGUGGAGGACUUGGAUGGUCAGGAGCUGGCCUCUGAUCACCUCUACUGCCUUGUCGUCUAAAAAGUCAGCUCCCAUGCAGCUGGGCUGGAGAAGGGAAUCUGCAGAAGGGCUGCCCCUCAUUCCCUGCCUAUGGGACCUUGUAGCCAGCGCAAACACCCCCUGCAGAGGAGCGUCAGGCAGUGGAACAGCCGUAGAUGGGUUC